This 24-nucleotide non-coding RNA is filed under the name Arabidopsis thaliana (thale cress). Lineage: Eukaryota; Viridiplantae; Streptophyta; Magnoliopsida; Brassicales; Brassicaceae. The record is from RNAcentral.
UCUCCGAUUAUGGGUAAUGUCACC